CCUACGGGAGGCAGCAGUGAGGAAUAUUGGUCAAUGGGCGGAAGCCUGAACCAGCCAAGUAGCGUGCGGGAUGAAGGCCCUACGGGUUGUAAACUUCUUUUAUACAGGAAUAAAGUGAGGCACGUGUGCCUUUUUGUAUGUACUUUAUGAAUAAGGAUCGGCUAACUCCGUGCCAGCAGCCGCGGUAAUACGGAGGAUCCGAGCGUUAUCCGUAUUUAUUGGGUUUAAAGGGAGCGUAGAUGGGUUGUUAAGUCAGUUGUGAAAGUUUGCGGCUCAACCGUAAAAUUGCAAUUGAUACUGGCAGCCUUGAGUACAGGUGAGGUAGGCGGAAUUCGUGGUGUAGCGGUGAAAUGCUUAGAUAUCACGAAGAACUCCGAUUGCGAAGGCAGCUUACUAAACUGCCACUGACAUUGAUGCUCGAAAGUGUGGGUAUCAAACAGGAUUAGAUACCCUUGUAGUC
RNAcentral lists this ribosomal RNA (460 nucleotides) under uncultured bacterium. Its description in RNAcentral is "partial 16S ribosomal RNA". It matches the Rfam family "Bacterial small subunit ribosomal RNA", at positions 338 to 795 of the family's 1533-position model. The record is from RNAcentral.